GUUAGCGAGAGCUGCUUUAUUUUGUGCAGUAUCCUUAUUGUGUAUCGAGCUAAUCUCCGAAUUGUCUGCCUUACAGAGUGCCCUUAAAGUGUUCGAUAUAAUGCCUCCGAGAUCUCGGGACAAAAUGGUAUGCCUUGGAUGAAAUUUAUUUGGAUCUUAGAUCUUAAAAUACUUCACAUUUCUCGGGGAAAUAUUACUAAACUCGUGGGGUUUUUAAUAGUGUGUUUGUAGGAUAUCUACUAAUAGUGUCGUGUCAGCAGCUAUGAUAUGAAAGCAUUUCUUUCGAGUCCAGGUGCUCGGGGCAAGAACUAACAAGCUUCUUCAAAUUGAUGAAGAAUUCAACUUUUUUUGAGGGUGAUCUCUGAAUUCUUUUUUUUUCCCCCAUUUGGAUUACAUGGUCGGCGAAAUAGUCUCAUAUGAGCCCUCAUCCACAGUCUCUAAAUUCUGAUCUGACGAGAUAGUAACCAAAACCUAUUAAUUAGUACUUUUGCAUAGAAGAAAGAAAAAAAUGUUUGGAAAGUCUAAAGCUUGAAUUAGAGCUAUUGAGAUUAUUAGGGCUUAUCUUAUCACUGCGGUGAUCUUUUUGCAUAGGAGUGUAAUUGAGUUGCAAACUCAACUCACUUUAGCUGACAACUUAGAUCGAUUAGUUUAGUUGGAUUUUGAUUUGGGAGAGCAGGGGAUGGAUGCUCUAGGAAAUUCAUUUCUAAAGCUUCUUUGGUAUUUUUUGUUCUUAGUUUAUUGCUUGCUCCUCGUUUUGUAGUGGAUAGAAUUAAAAUAACACGUUCUGAGUGCACUUAAUUUGAGUCGUCAAUUAUAUCUUCCUGCAAAGACGUCAGCUGAGUCAAAAGAAGGAGAUCUUCCUCUUAUAGUGGCCAUACAUUUUUGCAGCCUAUGGCUCCAAUUGAAGACACUUUGACGGCUGUAAAGCGGACCUGGUUGUCUGUGAUGGUGCUCCAGAUGUUACCGGUUUGCAUGACAUGGAUGAAUUUGUCCAGUCCCAUCUCAUUUUAGCUGGCUUAACUGUAACCCAUGUUCUUAAAGGUGGAAAAUAUAUUGCAAAGAGAUUCCGCGGAAAAGAUACAACUCUCUUGUGCUGUCAAGUAAGUUUACAUGCUGUGCUCAUGAAUUUAACUGUCAAAUUUAGUGAUGAAGCUAAGAAGAAGAGAUCAGUGGGAAGAAGUAGAUUAAAGGAGCUGAGAGAAGAAAGGUUGUAGAGGAAGAGGAUUGAGAAGGAAAGAGAGAGAGCCCUUUUCAUGAAACAGAGCCAGAGAAACUGUGGUUUUUCCCGGAGGCGGUGAUGGAAAUCAAAAGGAUGACAAAGAAGACUUGAUGCAAAGAUUCAAAGAUGGUUUCGACGUCUGAGAUGCCCCUUCUUUUGUCGUCCAUCUAUAUGUGUGUAUAGAGAUGUUUCUACAAAUAGAAAAAUGGAAAGGACGUGUAGUGAUUUUGAUGGUGGAAUCAUUUAGUUAUUGCUUCCUGCUCUCAGAGAGUUAUGUGUCCCUUAAAUUUGAUACUCAUAGCAACAAUCUUGUAAGAAUGUUUUUGCAAUUCGACAGAGACAUUUGGAAAAUGAUAACAAAAUGAGAGGACUCAUAAAGGA
Non-coding RNA from Camelina sativa (false flax), 1600 nucleotides. The record is from RefSeq and is a predicted model, not a curated record. Lineage: Eukaryota; Viridiplantae; Streptophyta; Magnoliopsida; Brassicales; Brassicaceae.